GCAAGUCGAACGGUGAAGGAGAGCUUGCUCUCUGGAUCAGUGGCGAACGGGUGAGUAACACGUGAGCAAUCUGCCCCUGACUCUGGGAUAACAGUUGGAAACAGCUGCUAAUACCGGAUACGAGCUUCGAAGGCAUCUUCAGAAGCUGGAAAGAACUUCGGUCAGGGAUGAGCUCGCGGCCUAUCAGCUAGUUGGUGAGGUAAUGGCUCACCAAGGCGUCGACGGGUAGCCGGCCUGAGAGGGUGACCGGCCACACUGGGACUGAGACACGGCCCAGACUCCUACGGGAGGCAGCAGUGGGGAAUAUUGCACAAUGGGCGCAAGCCUGAUGCAGCAACGCCGCGUGAGGGACGACGGCCUUCGGGUUGUAAACCUCUUUUAGCAGGGAAGAAGCGAAAGUGACGGUACCUGCAGAAAAAGCGCCGGCUAACUACGUGCCAGCAGCCGCGGUAAUACGUAGGGCGCAAGCGUUAUCCGGAAUUAUUGGGCGUAAAGAGCUCGUAGGCGGUUUGUCGCGUCUGCUGUGAAAACUGGAGGCUCAACCUCCAGCCUGCAGUGGGUACGGGCAGACUAGAGUGCGGUAGGGGAGAUUGGAAUUCCUGGUGUAGCGGUGGAAUGCGCAGAUAUCAGGAGGAACACCGAUGGCGAAGGCAGAUCUCUGGGCCGUAACUGACGCUGAGGAGCGAAAGGGUGGGGAGCAAACAGGCUUAGAUACCCUGGUAGUCCACCCCGUAAACGUUGGGAACUAGUUGUGGGGUCCAUUCCACGGAUUCCGUGACGCAGCUAACGCAUUAAGUUCCCCGCCUGGGGAGUACGGCCGCAAGG
RNAcentral lists this ribosomal RNA (825 nucleotides) under Microbacterium sp. HCA3-4_Pa. RNAcentral describes it as "bacterial SSU rRNA". It matches the Rfam family "Bacterial small subunit ribosomal RNA", at positions 57 to 893 of the family's 1533-position model. Lineage: Bacteria; Bacillati; Actinomycetota; Actinomycetes; Micrococcales; Microbacteriaceae. The record is from RNAcentral.